This 336-nucleotide ribosomal RNA is filed under the name uncultured bacterium. Its description in RNAcentral is "bacterial SSU rRNA". It matches the Rfam family "Bacterial small subunit ribosomal RNA", at positions 30 to 367 of the family's 1533-position model. The record is from RNAcentral.
AUUGAACGCUGGCGGCAUGCCUUACACAUGCAAGUCGAACGGCAGCACGGGAGCAAUCCUGGUGGCGAGUGGCGAACGGGUGAGUAAUAUAUCGGAACGUGCCCAGUCGUGGGGAUAACGUAGCGAAAGCUACGCUAAUACCGCAUACGAUCUAAGGAUGAAAGCGGGGGAUCGCAAGACCUCGCGCGAUUGGAGCGGCCGAUAUCAGAUUAGCUAGUUGGUGAGGUAAAGGCUCACCAAGGCGACGAUCUGUAGCUGGUCUGAGAGGACGACCAGCCACACUGGGACUGAGACACGGCCCAGACUCCUACGGGAGGCAGCAGUGGGGGAAUUUUU